UGGAUGAAAUAUAAACUGUCUCUUAAUUAAAAAUAAAAUUUAAUUUUUUAAUUAAAAAGUUAAAAUAUUUUAAAAAGACGAGAAGACCCUAUAGAGUUUUAUAAAUAAAUUAAUUGAGAUUAUUAAAUAAAAUUAAAACUAAUUUAUUUAUUAUAUUGGGGUGAUAGAAAAAUAUAUUUAACUUUUUUUAAAAAAAAACAUUUAUAAGUGAUUAAAUGAUCCAAUAUUAUUGAUUAUAAGAAAAAAUUACCUUAGGGAUAACAGCGUAAUUUUUUUUUUUAGUUCGUAUAA
Molecule: ribosomal RNA, 291 nt
Filed under: Sesamia sp. SEKEG3815
Lineage: Eukaryota; Metazoa; Arthropoda; Insecta; Lepidoptera; Noctuidae
Description: partial 16S large subunit ribosomal RNA
Source: RNAcentral